Molecule: transfer RNA, 64 nt
Filed under: Dipodomys ordii (Ord's kangaroo rat)
Lineage: Eukaryota; Metazoa; Chordata; Mammalia; Rodentia; Heteromyidae
Rfam family: tRNA
About the family: Transfer RNA (tRNA) molecules are approximately 80 nucleotides in length. Their secondary structure includes four short double-helical elements and three loops (D, anti-codon, and T loops). Further hydrogen bonds mediate the characteristic L-shaped molecular structure. tRNAs have two regions of fundamental functional importance: the anti-codon, which is responsible for specific mRNA codon recognition, and the 3' end, to which the tRNAs corresponding amino acid is attached (by aminoacyl-tRNA synthetases). tRNAs cope with the degeneracy of the genetic code in two manners: having more than one tRNA (with a specific anti-codon) for a particular amino acid; and 'wobble' base-pairing, i.e. permitting non-standard base-pairing at the 3rd anti-codon position.
Source: Rfam by way of RNAcentral
GGUGGCUCAGUGGUUGAGCACUUGUCUUGCAUGCCUGAGGCCCUGGGUUCGAUUCCCAGCACCA